UGUUUUUUUUUGGGUGGGGUGCAGUUGAGGGGGGCUCGUGGCCCAGUAGAGCUUUACCCCUGAGACUAACAAGGGGAACAGUGGAGAUAAACUGGAAGACCUGGAGCUCGGCAAAGAGAUUUGUACGGAGCAUGUGGAAAAACAGGGAAACACACCUCAGUAAUUACAAGUGUAUCAUAAUAAAUUAGAGUGGAGUGGAGAAUUUAGGGAAUCACAUCUCAGCAAUGAUAAGAAACUGCUGGUCAGGUAUCACCUAUCACCGAAAGAUGUUUAAGAGGAAGGGGGGCGGUGGUGGGCUUGAGCUGGGCUCAGACUAUAGGAGUUUUAAAAACCUAACCGAUAAUGAAAUCUGGUUGCUGUGAACACAUGAGGAGAAUCUUUGGCAAAUUUAUUAGCCCACCUCAAAUCUUAAAUGUGUGCAAAGUACAAAAUAUGAAAACUGCGCCACAGAACACAAGAUAUUAAGGUUAUCCUGACCGAUGGAGCACAUCACUUUCUUUGUCAAAAAUUACGCUUUUUUUUUUUUACUAAUAUUAGAUUAUUAAAUUAUGCGGUGGUUCGGUUCUGGGUUUUUCGGGGUCGACAGCUAUUCUCGACUCUUAAUUUUGGAGUCGGUGGAAUCGGCUCAAAAAUCAACACCUUUUACAUUCACUUAAAAUAGCGCAAGGAUUAAACAUGCUGUAUCAUAUCGUUCUUUAUACAAGCAGUUCUCCUGUGGUCAGACAAAAUCAGCAUUUUAAAUCAUCUGCAGUCAAAAUAAAAUAAUAAUCCGCCUAUACUU
Molecule: non-coding RNA, 781 nt
Organism: Danio rerio (zebrafish)
Lineage: Eukaryota; Metazoa; Chordata; Actinopteri; Cypriniformes; Danionidae
Source: RefSeq, a predicted model, not a curated record